GACAGUGUGGUGUAGUGGUUUGAUCACUGGACUACAACUCUGGUGACCAGGGUUCAAAUCCUGACUCAGCCA
RNAcentral lists this transfer RNA (72 nucleotides) under Phrynosoma platyrhinos (Desert horned lizard). Its description in RNAcentral is "tRNA-OTHER". The record is from RNAcentral. Lineage: Eukaryota; Metazoa; Chordata; Lepidosauria; Squamata; Phrynosomatidae.